Molecule: transfer RNA, 72 nt
Filed under: Camelus bactrianus (Bactrian camel)
Lineage: Eukaryota; Metazoa; Chordata; Mammalia; Artiodactyla; Camelidae
Also listed under: 2 other names
Rfam family: tRNA
About the family: Transfer RNA (tRNA) molecules are approximately 80 nucleotides in length. Their secondary structure includes four short double-helical elements and three loops (D, anti-codon, and T loops).
Source: Rfam by way of RNAcentral
GGAAGUAUGGCUUAGUGGUAGGGUGCGUGCCUGGCAUGCAUAAGAUCCUGGGUUCAAUCCCUAGAACCUCCA